UGGGGAAUAUUGGACAAUGGGCGAAAGCCUGAUCCAGCCAUGCCGCGUGUGUGAAGAAGGUCUUCGGAUUGUAAAGCACUUUAAGCUGGGAGGAAGGGCAGUAAGCGAAUACCUUGCUGUUUUGACGUUACCGACAGAAUAAGCACCGGCCAACUCUGUGCCAGCAGCCGCGGUAAUACAGAGGGUGCAAGCGUUAAUCGGAAUUACUGGGCGUAAAGCGCGCGUAGGUGGUUCGUUAAGUUGAAUGUGAAAGCCCCGGGCUCAACCUGGGAACAGGAUCCAAAACGGGCGAGCUAGAGUAGGGGAGAAGGUGGUGGAAUUUCCUGUGUAGCGGUGAAAAGAGUAGAUAUAGGAAGGAACACCAGUGGCGAAGGCGACCACCUGGGCUCAUACUGACACUGAGGUGCGAAAGCGUGGGGAGCAAACAGG
Molecule: ribosomal RNA, 429 nt
Filed under: Pseudomonadota bacterium
Lineage: Bacteria; Pseudomonadati; Pseudomonadota
Description: Proteobacteria bacterium partial 16S ribosomal RNA
Rfam family: Bacterial small subunit ribosomal RNA
Source: RNAcentral